GCUGUGCAGUGUGUGCCUGGCGCAUGGCCUGAGUAACAUUCCAGAAACUUGCCUCGCUGCCUGCCUUCCGAGAACAGC
Molecule: small nucleolar RNA, 78 nt
Organism: Mirounga angustirostris (Northern elephant seal)
Lineage: Eukaryota; Metazoa; Chordata; Mammalia; Carnivora; Phocidae
Product: small nucleolar RNA U83B
Exons: 1
Source: RefSeq, a predicted model, not a curated record